GACAGAGGGUGCAAACGUUGCUCGGAAUUACUGGGCGUAAAGGGCGCGUAGGCGGUGCUCUAAGUUAGAUGUGAAAACUCUGGGCUCAACCCAGAGCCUGCAUCUAAAACUGGAGUGCUAGAGUUCUGGAGGGGGUAGCGGAAUUCCUGGUGUAGCGGUGAAAUGCGUAGAUAUCAGGAGGAACACCGGUGGCGAAGGCGGCUAUCUGGACAGAGUCUGACGCUGAGGCGCGAAAGCUAGGGGAGCAAACAGG
Molecule: ribosomal RNA, 253 nt
Filed under: uncultured bacterium
Lineage: Bacteria
Description: partial 16S ribosomal RNA
Rfam family: Bacterial small subunit ribosomal RNA
Source: RNAcentral